CGCGAGGUUGAAGGAGAAGAAGAGUAUCGCAAGUCGUGACUGAAGGAGAAGCAGAGAAUCGCGAGGUUGAAGGAGAAGAGAGUCGCGUCUGAGUCCCAAUUUUGGAAAUAUGAAAAAAA
Solanum tuberosum (potato) is the source of this 119-nucleotide long non-coding RNA. RefSeq lists it as uncharacterized. The record is from RefSeq and is a predicted model, not a curated record. The transcript has 2 exons. NCBI's taxonomy places the organism in Eukaryota, Viridiplantae, Streptophyta, Magnoliopsida, Solanales, Solanaceae.